UGGGGAAUUUUGGACAAUGGGGGAAACCCUGAUCCAGCCAUCCCGCGUGUGCGAUGAAGGCCUUCGGGUUGUAAAGCACUUUUGGCAGGAAAGAAACGUCGCGGGUUAAUACCUCGCGAAACUGACGGUACCUGCAGAAUAAGCACCGGCUAACUACGUGCCAGCAGCCGCGGUAAUACGUAGGGUGCAAGCGUUAAUCGGAAUUACUGGGCGUAAAGCGUGCGCAGGCGGUUCGGAAAGAAAGAUGUGAAAUCCCAGAGCUUAACUUUGGAACUGCAUUUUUAACUACCGGGCUAGAGUGUGUCAGAGGGAGGUGGAAUUCCGCGUGUAGCAGUGAAAUGCGUAGAUAUGCGGAGGAACACCGAUGGCGAAGGCAGCCUCCUGGGAUAACACUGACGCUCAUGCACGAAAGCGUGGGGAGCAAACAG
Molecule: ribosomal RNA, 428 nt
Filed under: uncultured bacterium
Lineage: Bacteria
Description: bacterial SSU rRNA
Rfam family: Bacterial small subunit ribosomal RNA
Source: RNAcentral